GAUCGUGGGCUCGUGAUGGCAGAAUUGGGUAUACAAAAUAGGCCACUGUUAGACCCAGUAAGCCAUAUUAAAGCUGCGAUGGGAAAUAACGAUAACAUUAAGGGUGAUGGGCCUGUUUUAACGGAUCAAGAAAUUAGGGGCUUGGAACUAUCUUUUAAUUCGGACAGUGUCGAUACAGUGCAUGGAGUCUUCCAAAUAACAACGCAUCUUCGACUGAUUUUAAUUAAAGGAAGGUUAAUUCCAUUCGGGCAUUACUGCUCAAAUUAAUCCUAUUUUUGAGGGUCCUGUGGAAUCAGUAGUAGAAAUUAAUAAGGAACUACUUGAUUCUAGUAACCACUCUGCGAUUACUUUUAAGGAAAAAAAUAGACUAAAUAUUGCUAAAUAUACUGAAGCUGGUAUUUCGGUUGGAAGAGAGGAAUACCGAUUUCGAAAGUGAGGGGUUCAGGAACUAAUAAGGGUAAUGUUCGAAAUAAUGGUGCUAUUAGUAAGAUCAUUCGUGAACACGGGGGACAUUUUAAAAAUUUUGGGAGUGCAAGGGUUCCACUAUCAGACUCUAUGAAUUCGAUGGCCAAACUCCUCAACUCGCAGAUUAACAGGGCUGAGAUGGGGAACUUGAACAUUUAUGGGAAACGCAGGGAAGACACAUGCUAGUCAUGAGCUACAGACCAAUUUCUUUAGCCUUGUUAUAGUGAUCUUUCGCCAAUACAGAAGGAAAAUAGAGAAGCAAGAAAAGAGUGCCUCAACCAAAGGUUCAAUUGGUGCUCCUACAGCUUCACCUUCACCUUCCCAUGCUCAACGAUGUUCCUUCAUGUAAUGAUCCAAAAUGCACGGACAUCGAAAAAGUAUAUUAUCGGGCCUCCGUCUCAGUAAAUCGAACCUGUAAAUAAUUAUUAGAAAUACCUAUGAGUCUAGUAGUGUGUUAAUUAAGUUUUAACUGAGUAAAUUUAGCUUAAUUGAGAAAAAUUAAAAAAAAAAAGAAAAAAAGACUAAAA
Long non-coding RNA from Gossypium arboreum, 992 nucleotides. RefSeq lists it as uncharacterized. The transcript has 2 exons. Lineage: Eukaryota; Viridiplantae; Streptophyta; Magnoliopsida; Malvales; Malvaceae. The record is from RefSeq and is a predicted model, not a curated record.